AGUUUCCAGGCUAAAGGACUGUUGGGGGAGUGAGAAGGCUGCUGGAGAGGGAUGGGUCCAGGGGACAGCUUCGGUCUCAGAGGAUGGGAGGAAAGGUGGCGCUGUGAGCCACAAGAGGGGAGCUGGGAGGGCUGACUGGUUUGAGAUGGGGAAAACAGGAGAUUGAGGGAGCAAGUCAAGCGGCUGCAGAGGCUACCAAACCAGUGUAAAGUCCCCGAAGCCCUGGGAAGAGCAGGUUUUAAGAAGUAGAACGGCGUCGUCGUGAUUUCAAGCAGCCGCUAGAUGCCAGAUAUUGGCUGGCUGUGGGCCUCUGAGGAGCACAGAGCCAGGCCUGGUAGAAGUCUGGGUGGGCAGCUUUGGUGGCCGCAGAUGCACAGGUGAUGUGUCUCGGAGCUGACUUGCUGACCCCACCGAUUGGCUGCUGGUGUGGAAGGCCACGUUCACAGGAGACAAGGAACCCACAGAGAAAAGGAGCACGCUGAGUCAAGAGGACAAAGGGCCGGCACCCUCCACGAACAGGGACUUCGAGAAGACAGCUAUGCCUUUAGCAAGCUCAGGUGCUGCUGUUUACGGUCCUGGGGCUCUAUGGACUCAUCCUGUCCAGCCCCGGGGGCCACGUCUUGAGCUUUGUACAGGUAGCAGGCUCCCAGGUGGAAACAACCCAAGUGGCUGUUGACGGAUGAGCAGAAAAAAAGAUGGUAUAGACACGCAAUGGAGUAUUACUCAGCCUUAAAAAGGAAGGAAAUUCCAACACAUGCUACAACAUGGAUGAACCUGGAGGACAUUAUGCUAAGUGAGGUCCUUCAGCAGGGCAUCCAGCUCAUUCUCAUCAAUGUAGCCACUCCCGUCCUGGUGAUGGGGAGCAGAGGAGAGGCAGCACAGAGCUCUAGAACUCAGGCCCCGCCACCCCUGACCUUGCCUCCCCAUUCCCCCAACUCUUCUUGGGAGCCUGCAGAGUCUAACCUUCCCUUUACUCUGUGCAGAAGGUGUUCACACCGUGCGGUGCCAGGAUGACACCUAACUGCUGACUUUACCAGUCAAGGCAGGAACAGGACAUUUUGGGGCAAAUUUGCAUUCUGGUGUUUUUCAUUUGCAUUAAAAAUAUAAAUGAGGUUCAAGAAGGAUUUAGCUAACUCCCUGCGAUGUCAGGAUGAAUACAGGGGCUAUUUGAAGUUUAUCCCCCACCCUUCGGUUAUGAGGGGGACCACAGGAGUCACACGGGUGAGGGCAGUAAAGGAAGGGCUGGUGCGUGGUCAGGAGGCCUUCUCACUCCCAACUUCUUAGCAAAACAAUCGGCUCCAGUGCACAAUUAUGAUCUGGCACCAAGGGCGCAGUACUGAGCGCCUCCUGAUUCCGAAGGACAGGGUUGAGCCAUUUGGCCAGGGGCUCCCCUGCCGAUGGGGCCCCCUGCUUUUCCGUCGCAUGCUGUCCUCCCUCUUACCUUGUCGUAAAAUGUGAAGAUCGCAUUGAACUCCUCAGAGGUCAGUUUCAUGCCCUGUAAGGUCCAAUGUAUUAAAGAGAGAAGCAAAAGCCCUG
This is a long non-coding RNA of Leopardus geoffroyi (Geoffroy's cat), 1536 nucleotides long. RefSeq lists it as uncharacterized. Lineage: Eukaryota; Metazoa; Chordata; Mammalia; Carnivora; Felidae. The transcript has 7 exons. The record is from RefSeq and is a predicted model, not a curated record.